GAUUUCUGGCGAACUGUAGCGGCCCGUGCUCGUAUCGGGCGUGUGUGCCGUGACAUGUUUGUCAUCCUUCCAGAGAGCUGCGUCUACCAUUCAUUUGGCCGGACGUACGCGAUCUGGAUCAAUUACUUUGAAAAAAUUAGAGUGUUUAAAGCAGGCUUUUUGCUAUGAAUACAUUAGCAUGGAAUAAUAAUUUAGGACUUUGGCCCUAUUUUGUUGGUUUCUAGGACUGAAGUAAUGAUUGAUAGGGAUAGUUGGGGGUGCUCGAAUUCAGCGGCCAGAGGUGAAAUUCUUGGAUUCGCUGAAGACGAACUCAUGCGAAAGCAUU
RNAcentral lists this ribosomal RNA (325 nucleotides) under uncultured Corythion. RNAcentral describes it as "SSU rRNA". The stretch from base 112 to 325 matches the Rfam family "Eukaryotic small subunit ribosomal RNA", at positions 741 to 955 of the family's 1831-position model. Lineage: Eukaryota; Cercozoa; Imbricatea; Euglyphida; Trinematidae. The record is from RNAcentral.